This 253-nucleotide ribosomal RNA is filed under the name uncultured bacterium. Its description in RNAcentral is "partial 16S ribosomal RNA". It matches the Rfam family "Bacterial small subunit ribosomal RNA", at positions 524 to 776 of the family's 1533-position model. The record is from RNAcentral.
UACAGAGGGUGCGAGCGUUAAUCGGAAUUACUGGGCGUAAAGGGUGCGUAGGUGGUUUGGUAAGUUAGAUGUGAAAUUCCUGGGCUUAACCUGGGGACUGCGUCUGAUACUGCUGAGCUAGAGUACUGUAGAGGAAAGUGGAAUUUCCGGUGUAGCAGUGAAAUGCGUAGAUAUCGGAAGGAACAUCAGUGGCGAAGGCGACUUUCUGGACAGAUACUGACACUGAGGCACGAAAGCAUGGGGAGCAAACAGG